UCUCUUAACCAGCGCAAUGUACUUAGGAGGUCAUGCGCCGGUUAAACUCUGCCAUUAUGCCUCUUACUGGGCAUGCUUGAGCCCACGGGCCCAACUCCUGAGAUCCCAUUCGGAAGCUGCUGAUCACCAGUUUCAAGUGUUUCUGUUUAUUGGGAGACUGCCUUCCUCUGGCACUGGCAGUGACCAAUUAUUAUUUUAGAGAGACUGUUAACGGCCUGACCAUCACCUGAUGAAUAUCAGGAAUGUGGCCUGACAUUCCUGGUGUGUGUGGUGUGGGGUACGAGGGGAGCUCUCUCCUACGCUGCUCAUGUCUGACUAGUUGGAUUCUGCAGAGUGGAAGUGGGAAACUCCUUCUGACCCUGGCCACCUGUCUCCAUGUGAAGGCAGAUCCAUUUGAGUGACAGUCCGAGGCAAUACCUCAACUGCCUCUCACUUCCCAAGACAAAUAAACCCACUUGACCUUGAUGUGCUUUUUGUGAAUACAUUGUGAGAUUGGACUUUCGGAUAUUUUAUUUAGAAUUUCUGCGUCUAUAUUCUUUGGGAGGUACACGGAGCGCCUUCUUUUCGUUUAGAGCAUUGGUGUCUCCACAUUAGAAGCAUCCUAUGUAGCUGUUCUGCUUGCAGCUGCCCAAGUCUGCCUGGGCCUCCUGCAUGAGGUCAUGAGUCUUAAUAAAGCCACUGACCCACACAUUUGGAAUCGUACUGACUUUUCACAACUAACAGCCAACACAUUGCCAAGAAGCAAUUCAAUUGUUGAGGAUAUCACAUCAUGCCAGGGAAAGAGAGAUGGAAUUCAGAAAGCCUGGGAUAUUGCAGGUUCUCUCCAUUCUCUCUCUCAGGACCCCCCAUUCUUCAUUCAUGAGGCUUAUCAUCAUUCUCUCUUCAUGAGCCCCAUGUGGACAGGGGCUUUAUCCAUCUCCUUUGCUUGGUCAUCUCUGGGUCCAACAUCCAGCCUGCCUGUGGCCGUUAAUAUUCUGCAUGAAGGGAUCAGUCUACACACAGAAACUUUGGCUGCCUGGUCUUGUUUCAUGAUGACUCUGGAAUUAUCAUAAUCCCAUUCUUUUUAAUUAUUUCCACCAUUCUGCUGUAUGCAGUUUAUGUUACAAUUAUACGUUGGCAACUAAA
Homo sapiens (human) is the source of this 1125-nucleotide long non-coding RNA. Ensembl annotates it as long intergenic non-protein coding RNA 1777. Lineage: Eukaryota; Metazoa; Chordata; Mammalia; Primates; Hominidae. The record is from Ensembl.